Molecule: long non-coding RNA, 2083 nt
Organism: Mus musculus (house mouse)
Lineage: Eukaryota; Metazoa; Chordata; Mammalia; Rodentia; Muridae
Product: predicted gene 11269
Exons: 3
Source: RefSeq, a predicted model, not a curated record
GCAGGCUGCAUGCCUUGGAGGCAUACCUGCUUUCUCUACCCUCUGGGCCACUGUCCAAAAGGGUGCCUGCCUAAUUCCUGCUACUUGGGUGACACAGAUGGAAUGCUGCUGAUAAGGGCUACAGAGGUAACACAGUACAUCUGGCUGCAGUCUCGGAGGCUGACUGCACCAGACACUUGCAGAAACAACAGCCAUGUGAGCUUAGACCCUCAUCCAAGGUUAUUUGAUCUAUGUCUGUGAAGUCCCACUAUAAUGAGAUCCUUAUCCUACAGCAGAUGCACGGUGGUGAUGGUAAUGAUGGUGGUGGUAGUGAUUGUGGUGGUGGUGGUUGGUGGGUUGGUGGUGGUGGUGGUGUGUGUGUGUGUUUGUGCUGGGUACUGAGUGCUGUGUGCAUAGGUGAAGGGUUUAGAGGGGUAAUUUAACAGUCCACGGUCCUGGUCUUUGACGUUUCCCUUGACAUCAAUCUGUAACACAGCAGGGCUGUGGACUUUCCUGCUUACUUUAAGUGCCUCACUUACAGCAUACUGCCUCAUUCAAUGUGCCGUUUCUGGGUCCAGAGACACGCUCUCGUCCUGCAAAAGCCAGGGCUUUGUACAGGUCCUGUCUCCUUCGGAAUCAGUACUUUCCUUUCCUCCUCUCCCUCUGGAGAAACCGUAGCACUGCCUAUGAAUUAGUUGUCCUACGGAAGUGGGAAGAGGCCAUCUCUUAAUUUACAUACUCACUUUCUUCCCACACUGGAUUUGUCACAGGGAACGGAACUAAGUCCGCUUCGCUCCCAUAGUAUCGGUUGUAACAAUUCAUGAAAUUCUAGACAUAGGGAACAGAUUCAUAGAAUUGCAAAGACAGUGUUGACAGGGAGAGAAAGCUUGAAUUUCUAUACCACAGCGUGGAUGGAAGUUCUAAACCAUAGUGCAUUUGUGACGAUUAUCAUCACGGACACAUGCGCAGAGGCUGAGAACCCCUCAGCCUCCAGACCCCCACAAAGAAGAUAGGAGCUGCGGUCCAUGGUCACAGGCAUUUCUUGACUUGCUCUGUUUGGCUGACCAAGACUGCUUGAAGGUCCUGGAGUCCUUAGAGCUCAUCCACCUAAGAGCUCAUCUAGUGUCCAGGAGUGAGAUCUGAGUGGGCUGAUGGACUAGGAGGACAGCACCGGCGAGAGAAAAAAAGAGCGGAAGCUUCUCCUCCAGCCUGUUUGAAGCUCCAGCAGCCUCGCCUCCCGGGAUUGGCAGGAGCAUCUGUGCCCUGCCCCUCUUCAAAAGAUGACUUUACAUCCUAGUGUCGCUCCCAUUUUAACGUUAGCUCCCCUUAAAAUGUAGAUUGGGAAGACACCAGAGAACAGACUCUAAAAGCAAGUAACUGUCCUUUCUGACUUUGCUCGUUCACAUGAGACUCCUUGCAGAGCUGUAGCCCUCGUGGUACAUGAUGCCUUCAGGGCUGAGGUCUCCUCGGGGACAAAUUCACACCAGCUACCUGCUCUGAUUAUUUUUAUAAAAGGUCAAUUCUUUAUAUACCCAUUGAGCAAUUGAACACUAAGCACUACUCUUCCCCCCCAAAAAACUCUUGAGUUUCAUUCUAGCACCUUAUUUUAAAACUAAGGACAUGUCUUAGCAGAUAAGUCUUCACAACAGAAGACUCAACAGUCAUAAACAGGAAGCCGGAUGGUUCGCAGAUGGUUCCCGUCUGUCCUUCUGCCAAGGACGGACUGACUCCUCUGGACUUGGAGUAGCCCAGAGAAGACCCCAGUGGGAUGUUCUACAAGAGUGCAUAGCCUAAGACCACAGUCCUUAAAAUAAUCACUUCCAGAUAAUAGGAAAUUCCUUCAAAAGGUGAGAUUCUAAUCAUGGAAGGCCUGUAAACACAGGAAUUGGAAGUAUGUCUGGGCAGAAAUUGAAUUCAGUUUCUGAGAAGACUUUUCAUAUCCAAAUGUUUUUCAAACCAAUGGGCCAUGGUAUUGAUUUAAAGAAGCAGUGUUUGUAUUUUAAUAAUGAACUAGAACUCACUAAUGAUAUUAAAAGUUUAAAAUACUAAGCAUAAAGACUACUUUACAUAUAUUUUAAAUAUUACCUGCCUUAUGUGUGUGCAA